This 553-nucleotide ribosomal RNA is filed under the name uncultured archaeon. Its description in RNAcentral is "bacterial SSU rRNA". It matches the Rfam family "Archaeal small subunit ribosomal RNA", at positions 325 to 879 of the family's 1478-position model. The record is from RNAcentral.
ACGGGGCGCAGCAGGCGCGAAAACUUCGCAAUGUGCGAAAGCACGACGAGGGAAUCCCAAGUGCUGGCUCGUUAGAGUCAGCUGUUUUUAUGUCUAAAAAGCAUAGAGAGUAGGGGCUGGGUAAGACGGGUGCCAGCCGCCGCGGUAAUACCUGCAGCUCAAGUGGUGGCCGCUAUUAUUGGGCCUAAAACGUCCGUAGCCGGCUUAUUAAAUGCCUGGGUAAAUCGUACGGCUUAACCGUACGAAUUCCGGGUAGACUGAUAGGCUUGGGACCGGGAGAAGCUAGAGGUACUCCUGGGGUAGAGGUGAAAUUCUGUAAUCCUAGGGGGACCACCAGUGGCGAAGGCGUCUAGCUAGAACGGGUUUGACGGUGAGGGACGAAGCCCUGGGGCGCAAACGGGAUUAGAUACCCCGGUAGUCCAGGGUGUAAACGCUGCUUGCUUGAUGUUGGUUGGGCUCCGAGCCCAAUCAGUGUCGGAGAGAAGUUGUUAAGCAAGCUGCCUGGGAAGUACGAUCGCAAGACUGAAACUUAAAGGAAUUGGCGGGGGAGCAC